GUGUGACGUAUAAUCUAGUGGACGGGACGCUCCUUCAACAACAACAGCUAGUCAGACACCUCGGUAGCUUUCUAGCAAACAUAGCUACAACAUUCACCCUCUUUACACUCUUUUGGUGUAUAUUAGUCGCUGUGUAUUAAACACACUUCUGUUGUCUGUACUUGUUGGCCCAUUUAAUUAUAUAUUUACGUUAUUUGUCAGCUAAUUGGUUGCUAAGUUAGCUUAGAACUAAGCUAGUCGCUAAUGCUAGCUAGCGAACAUCCCCGAUCAUGAGUUCACUAAGCUACUCUCCUCCUGCUACAGAAGAGGAGGUCUGCUGGACGGAGAAAGAAGCUUUCGUGAAAGAGGAGGACGAAGAGGAGGCUGUUACAAUACAAAAACAAGUAGAGAGUGAGGCUGUUACGGUGAAAGAAGAAGAGAAAGACGUUACAGUGAAAGGAGAGGAAGACGCGUUCAGAGUGAAAGAAGAGGAGGAUGUUACAGUAAAAGAAGAGGAAGAUGCAGUUUUUGGAGUGAAAGAGGAGGAGGAGAUGACUGUCACAUUGGAGGAAGAAGAGGAGGUUGGAGAUCUGUUUAACACCAGUUUUCUGUCCUCAGAUAAAGAGCUCUAUGAAAGCCAGUCUACAUAUGAAGAGGUCCCAAUGAAGAGCAGUGGUUCUCAGUCCUGGGGACUCAGAGGCACAUUGUUGUUUUUGUCUCAGCACUGCACAGCUGAUUCAAAUGAUCAACUCAUCAUCAAGCUUCAAGUGAUACCUUGUAACUGGAGAUUCCUUCAAAACGAUUGCCUACAGUUACCGUGUAGGACACUGCAAGGUUGGGUGACCAGGGUCAUCUGGGACUGCCUCCUGGAGGAAUUCAGAUGUGUGAAGGCUACCUGUGUCCUGCGUAACUUCAUGAGGAUGGACACGCGGACCAGGAGGGGAUCUGCAGCUCGCCGCCGUGUCCCAGAGGAGGAGUCUGCUGCUCUGCAGGAUGUUUCAAGGAUGGGGUCCAAAAACGCAGCAAGAGAGGCAAUCCGUGUGCAGGAGAUCUUCACCUCCUACUUCUUCAAAGAGGGUGCUGUUCCCUGGCAACACCAUAGACUACACUAUGCACUUUUAAGAGCCAUUCACAUUGCAAUACGUGUAUUAUUCCAUUUACUUAGCUAUGUCAAUUGCAGUUAUUCAAUUCACAGUUUCUCUCCCUUUGAUUUCUACUUCUUAGGUGAGGGUGCUGUUUAGGUAAGGGUUUGAUAUCUGUGCAAAAACAAAACAGGCUAUUUUGAAUCACCCAUAUUGAAGAAAUGUAGAACAAUUAGACACCCUAUAACCCACACCUACACACUCAUGUAUCAAUCUGAUUGAUGGAUUGUGUUGUGCAGUAAGCAGGCUCAGGUGUAUAACUGUGGCUCCUUCCACCUUCAAAGAAUAGGCAAGAGGGCCAACCAUAGAGAAUAGUAAGACACUUCAUUAUUUCUAUAACUAUGCUAUAAUUGUUUGUCCUCUUGUGUCCGUUCAUGUUUUUCAGCAUAAAGUACUCUGCAGCCACUUAGUGUGGUGUGGACACCAGGUUAUAUCAGCUGUGUCGGUGAACCCCUCCUGCAUCUGAACUGGCUACAUAGAGGGCACAGCAUGAUCAGAGGUGAGA
This is an RNA transcript of Salvelinus fontinalis (brook trout), 1626 nucleotides long. RefSeq lists it as uncharacterized. The transcript is spliced from 4 exons. The record is from RefSeq and is a predicted model, not a curated record. Lineage: Eukaryota; Metazoa; Chordata; Actinopteri; Salmoniformes; Salmonidae.